This 645-nucleotide long non-coding RNA is filed under the name Sus scrofa (pig). Its description in RNAcentral is "lncRNA (multiple genes)". The record is from RNAcentral. Lineage: Eukaryota; Metazoa; Chordata; Mammalia; Artiodactyla; Suidae.
AUGGUAGCUCUGUGGGAGGGGCUUACAUCCAAAACCAUCUAUAAAAGCAUUUGUAUGUAUAACACAACUGUUUGCAUAUUUAUAGGGUAUGUGAGUAACAUACCCUUUUCUCAUCAUUAUUCUCUUGAGCUUUCAUCUCAUGGUUAGAGUAGUUGCUGCAGCUGAGCCUGCUGGUUAAUGUCAUGUUGGGACCGAAGUGAAAGCGACAAGGUAAGUGUCCUUCAUUUCUAAGGGGCAUUAUGGCAGGAGAAGUCAGGGUUCAUUUUGGCUGAUUCACAGACCAACUAAAUCAGCUUAGAUUCAGCUGAUAGAAGACAGUAGGGUCAUGGAUCAGCAGGAUUCAUUGCUCAGGUAUAAUAUUUUGCAGAGUGAUUGACAGAGCAAAGAGUAAAACAAAACAAAAAAGUACAACAGCAAAACAAAGCAAACUACUACCACCACCAAAUCUCUGUGGGAAGACCUAGAGGAGAAAGGACAAUUAGUCAGGGUUAGAAAAUGGUCACAAGCACUUAUGAAGCUUCUAGAAAGUGGGAAGGACUACUCUAACAUUUGUAACAGAAACUCAGUAAACUCUCGCAAACUGAUUAAGGCUGAUCUUGCCUAUCUGCAAAAGCAAUAUUCCAGUGCUUUGUUCUUCAAUAGUAG